This is a long non-coding RNA of Cebus imitator (Panamanian white-faced capuchin), 1633 nucleotides long. RefSeq lists it as uncharacterized. The record is from RefSeq and is a predicted model, not a curated record. NCBI's taxonomy places the organism in Eukaryota, Metazoa, Chordata, Mammalia, Primates, Cebidae. The transcript has 2 exons.
GCUGUAGCCUCUUCUCCGCCCCACUACUUUGCCUCAGCCAAUCCGUAACCGCUUUUUCUGUUAUGGACAGGCAAGAGUCACCAAUAAUUGUGGGUCACGGAAGACCGUCUUCAUCCCUCCCUGUGGGCGGGGCCUGAGGCUUCCCGGCGCCCCCGAAGAGGUGAAAGGUGAAGAAUAGGGCGGAGCCUCCGGUGGGCGGGGCGAUGCCGGGAGAAGACCGUCUUCUUCCCUCCCUGUGGGCGGGGCCUGAGGCUUCCCGGCGCCCCCGAAGAGGUGAAAGGUGAAUAUGGGGCGGAGCCUCCAGUGGGCGGGGCGAUGCCGGGAGAAGCCAGUGAAGAGGCAGCGUGAGGGGGCGGGGCCGGCGCCGGGGUCGGAGGCCUGUGCCCGUGGCGGGCCGGAGGCCUGUGCCGGUGGCGGGCCGGGAGGGACCUGGGAGCGCGGUUUUGGGUAGAAGCGCAGUGCCGGCUUCUGGCUUCCCGGGCAGCUCCCACACCUGUGCGGACACCCCUGGCCUGCCUUUGCUCUGGCUCUGGGAACGGGCGUGGGGAGCCCUGUUCACCCUCACACCCCGGCUCUAGAGCGGCGCAGGACACUUCGUGUUUGCCAAGUGCGCUAGUGCCACCCAAAAGGCGGCGCAGGUGCUUGAGAAAUAACGGCAGAGGCAGCCCUUGGGAAGGCGCGCCCACCCGACGCUGCUUCUCCGGGCGCCCGAGGCGGAGGGGAGAAGGCACUGGGGUCUCCGUCUCAACCACCAGGGAACGAGGACCCCAGAGCUGCAGCCACCAGGAGCUGGACUCGGGGCCACCGGAAUGCACCUGGAGGAGGAUUCUCCCCCAGAGCCUUCGGGGAAGAGCUCAUCCCAGCCACCACCUUGGUUUAGACCUUGUGAGACCCGGAGUGGAGAGCCCAGUUUAAUUCACUUAAGCCAUAUAGCAACCCUGUGGGGCAGGCAUUUCUUUUUGUCUCCCCAUUUGGUCUUGUUUUUGGGUUUUGGUACCCAGAAUGGAUUCAUCAUAAACUUUGGUUCCCAUUCUCAUCCUCAUGCCUGCUUCCGUGUGUUUAGCUGCUGCAGUCAACAUCCCUGGACCCACCACAUAGAAGAAACCGAGUUUCCCAGGUGAAGAGACUUGCCUGAAAAGGGGUUAACUGACAACUUGGCAGCUGAUCCACUGCUGCUUCCCCUCGCAUGCCGGCUCCAAACUGAAAAUGAUGUUCUGGGUAAGAAAAAUAGCAGCAUAAGGGGCCUCAGACGUUUGAGUUGAAAUAAUUUGAAAUAACUUAAAGCGCCAGACUUCACUAGAGGUGGUUUAAUUGGGAUAAUGAGUUGCACAGGGAAUAAGCAAAUGCAAAGUUAAUUAACAGUCAUUUCCCGGAGACUAUUUGAAGGAGAGAGAGAGCUGUCUGGUCGCUGUGGAAUCCGGGUGUGAUUCAGGUGCCUGCUGUUGGCAUGAUCACUUCUUCCCUGAGGCAGCCAGGGCAGCCACAGAGGUGGGCGUGAGGGGGGCCUUGGCUGGCCCGAAAGACAGGGGAGGAAAGAGGAGGCAAACCCCAUGGAGCUCGAGGAGAUCUUAAAAGCCCAUGGAUGUGAGAGAUAAUUGGAAUCAAAAGCCGAUUAAAUUGUUCCUUACAAGUC